Molecule: ribosomal RNA, 450 nt
Filed under: uncultured bacterium
Lineage: Bacteria
Description: partial 16S ribosomal RNA
Rfam family: Bacterial small subunit ribosomal RNA
Source: RNAcentral
GUGGGGAAUAUUGGACAAUGGGCGAAAGCCUGAUCCAGCCAUGCCGCGUGUGUGAAGAAGGUCUUCGGAUUGUAAAGCACUUUAAGUUGGGAGGAAGGGCAGUAAGUUAAUACCUUGCUGUUUUGACGUUACCGACAGAAUAAGCACCGGCUAACUUCGUGCCAGCAGCCGCGGUAAUACGAAGGGUGCAAGCGUUAAUCGGAAUUACUGGGCGUAAAGCGCGCGUAGGUGGUUCAGCAAGUUGGAGGUGAAAUCCCCGGGCUCAACCUGGGAACUGCCUACAAAAAUACUGGGCUAGAGUACGGUAGAGGGUAGUGGAAUUUCCUGUGUAGCGGUGAAAUGCGUAGAUAUAGGAAGGAACACCAGUGGCGAAGGCGACUACCUGGACUGAUACUGACACUGAGGUGCGAAAGCGUGGAGAGCAAACAGGAUUAGAAACCCUAGUAGUCC